This 6165-nucleotide long non-coding RNA is filed under the name Sus scrofa (pig). RNAcentral's name for it is "lncRNA (ENSSSCG00050061263.1)". The record is from RNAcentral. Lineage: Eukaryota; Metazoa; Chordata; Mammalia; Artiodactyla; Suidae.
ACUCGCAUCCUUCACCUUUCCCAGUGGUCCUGACACUAAGAAUCCCAAGCGACUCCAGGCCAGCUGCUUCUGUGGAUUCAGAACCAGCUGGCGGAAGAUUUUCUUGACCCACUCUGGAGCCGCUUCCUGUUGCAGGUGGCAAUAAUCCAUCAUCCUGCGGAGGCUAAGCGGCCACGAUCUGAAACUUGUGGACUCUUCAAGGCCUGGGUCUGGCCCUGGUUUACACAGGAGACACCAAGCAAACUCUCCAGGUAGUUCCCCACGCUUCUCCGACUUGGCUGUAGCUGAAGAGCUGGCGCACCUUCUUUCUUCACCACAGAGCUGGGGUGCUGGCAGCAAGGAAAUGCCACAGCAGUUUCUCCAAAGCAGUGUCUCCCCCAGACCAGUCCUCUCUGUCAGCUUCUCCGUCCUCCUCAAGUCAAGAAACCUGACUGAUACAGAAAGAGGAGGAAUCAUCUCCCAGGUGGAGAAAUGAUUAGGUAUUUAUUUAUUUAUUUAUUUAUUGUCUUUUCAGGGCCGUUCCAGCAACAUAUGGAGGUUCCCAGUCUAGGGGUUGAAACAGAGCUGUAACUGAGAAGGAGGGAACCGAACUGCAUCUGUGACCUACACUACAACUCACGGCAACGCAGGAUCCUGAACCCACUGAGCAAAGCCAGGGAUUGAACCCGCAUCCUCAUGGAUACUAGUCAGGUGAAAUACCCGGGAGCGAGAUGACUGGGUCGUAUGGAACAAGUUAAUUGAAUACGUUCUCCUUGCUGUGGAGACCUGUGGAUGGUGCCAAGCACAACAGGCCCCACACAAAGGGGGCCUAGGACACCCGUCCCACCCCUGACGCCUGGGGCCAGCUCAGGCAGGGGCUGGGCACAUCUCUGGGGGACCAGGAAUGUGAGCUCACCUUGUGGGCAGCAGCAGAACUUCAGUGGGGCACCUCCCCAACAACUUGUCCACUUCCGACAGAUCCUGCGAGCUGCACUGCAGUACCCAAUGAUGAGCAGCGGAGGGCGCAAGAGGUCCUUUGCCGCCUUUCCACCUUGCCUUCCCAUCAUACAGGACAUAGAUGUGCCUUCAAGAAAAUGCAGCGAAAACAACUAGAACAAAGAAAUUUAAACUGCCCUUCGUCCCUCCUCCAGAGGCAGCUAAAAUUUAAAUAAAGUGAAACUGAGGCUCAGAGAAGCUGAUUCGCUUAGCAUCACACAGCUGGUGAGCAGCAGACCCAACCUUUGAACUCAGGAUGGCGGACAUCACGGCUCAUUUCUAUCUCUGUAUCACCUGAAGAAUCAGAACCCAGGUCCGAGGUUGGGACCAGGAAGACACAGGAUGGGCCACAGCUGAAGGACAAGUAUAAGAUUAGCAGGCUGUGCCUACAACAUGCAGAAGUCCGUGGGUCAGGGAUCGAACCCACGUUACUGCAAUGACAAAACGUCGAAUCCGUAACCGCUAGGCCACCAGGGAACGCCAAUUCAUCACAUUUCUCAAGCACCUACAAUUGCCAGGCUUGGUGGCAAACCCUGGGACUACAUCAGGGAACAUGAUCCAUAAUCCUGUCUCUUGCAGAAUUUAAUUUCUACAGGGAGAGACAGACAGACAGACAAGAUAACUGUGUAAACUAGGGGACAUAUUAGAGAAUGAUGAACAGGAAGGAAAAGCAAAGCAGUGGUCCCAGGUGGAGUUGGCAAGAAGGAUGAUAAGAGUUGAUAGAAUGACAAGAAGGUGACAAUCGAGCAUCAGCCUGAAGAGGUGAGGAAGGGGCGUAUUGCAGGUGACCUGAAGAAUUACGGGCAGAGACAUACCAUCAACAGAUGAGUGGAUAAACAAAAUGUGGUACGAACAUGAGAUGGAAUAUUACUUAGCCUUCAAGAGGAGGAGAAUUCUGGCACAGGUCACAACAUGGGUGAACCUCAAGGAUGUUAUGCUAAGUGAAAUAAGCCAAUCACAAAAAGACAGAUAUUGUACGGCUCCACAUAUGUCGAGUACCUAGAGCAGUGAAAUUAAUAGGGACAAAAAGUAGAAAGGUGGUUGCAGGGGCUGAGGGAGGACACGUGCGGAACUACUGUUGAACAGGUACAGAGUUUCCAUUUUAGUGGAUGAAGAAGGUUCUGGAGAAUGGCGAUGGUAGGACAACACAGCAGAAGCACGCCCGAUUGCGUGUGAAAGAUCAGCAAGUGGUCUUUUGAAAGACCAGUGUGGCUGAAAGGAGUGAGUAAGGAGAAAGUGUUAGAAGAUGGGUUGGGAGACAUGUGAGGACAGGGGCAGAUGACUUAACCACGUUUCGAGUCAACGAGGACCCUGGCAUCUCCUCCAGCGAGCAGGAAACUACUGGAAGGUGGAGAAGUGGCAGCAGAUGAAACUUUAAAAGGAAAGAUUGGAGAAGAAGAGGGGCAUGAGCCAAGUAAGCUCUGGGGGAGCUUCGGAAUUAACCAGCUCCCCCACAUUACUGAUGAGCUUCUUCCAGCUAAUGGAAUAAUGAAAACACAAAACAGAUUUACUGUUCUUAAUAAGAGAGAGAGAUAAUGAAGGCAAAUUAAAAUGGAAGCUCAGAUCUGCGUGGAGAACAGCUUGCUGCCAUGCAUGUGGCUCAAAGACAAAGGAAAGCGCUUAAUAAAAAAAAGCAAAAAAUUACCUGAGUUUGUGGACCAAGAAUAAGCCAAGAACAACACUGGGGGCACCGUGGAAUAGCUACAACAGAGACUGUGUAUCAUGAGCGGGUUUGGCUCAACCUCGGGUUCUGAGCAACUGCAAGGUGAUAUACCCUUUCUCGAAGCUUCCACCAUCCUCACUGGAAGAGCCAAAGACCCUCAGGUCAGCAGGGCAGGCUUUCUGGCUCCUCUGUCCCCUUAGAAGAGGCCAAGAUGGCAAUCUUGACUUCAGAAUCUUUAUUGGAAAAUAAACACUGUUUAAUGUACAAGAAAUCCCUCCAAGGGUCCAGUCAAAACAUCCCCAUGUGGGAUUGAUGCCAUUCGAAUGGACUCCAGAUGUCCCCUGGUCUCAGUGUCCCUGUGACCUCAAGGAGGGAGGAAGGCCCUGCAGGGAGACACGUGGCGGGUUUAGCACCCAAGGAAGCAGCUUGCUUUGCCACCCCAGCUGCUGUGCGGUGAGGGUGUUUGGGUGAUUCCCUGGCCCUGCCCAGCUUCGCCAGACUCCAUCCACCUCUGCCCUCAGAGGUCUCUAUGGCCAUUCUCUUGAGUUUUUUCAUUCAACCAAAGGAAAUGCCCUGCCUGGGGUGGGGUCAGGGGGUAGGAUUCUACUCAGAAUCAGAGCCCAGUGUGGCUUUCCACAGGCCAGGUCAGCUGGAGGCCUGUGCCUAUGUCAAAGCCAGGCAGGGCUGCAGAGAAAACUGUGGGAGUGGGGGGCCGGCAGUCACGGAUGGAGGGGCUGGAGAGAAGCAGCAGAGACCAGAAGCUGAAAACGGAGGAUGGGGGUGGGAGAGGCAACCUCAGAAAUGCCUCUAUUGAUAACGUCUCUGAGGAUUACUGAUCAAAAUUCCACCCUUCCAUUUAAAUACCCGAGCUGGGAGUUCCCACUGUGAUGCAGUGGAAACAAAGCUGACUAGUAUCCAUGAGGAUGCUGGUUCGAUCCCUGGCCUCCCUGAGUGGGUUAAGAUCCAGCCUUGCCUUGAGCUGUGGUAUAGGUUGCAGACACAGCUCCGGUCCCUUGACCUGCGCCAUAACCACAGCAAUGCCAGAUCUGAGCCACAUCUGGGACCUAUGCCGCAGCUUGCAACAACACCCGAUCCUUAACCCACUGAGCAAGGCCAGGGAUCAAACCUGCAUCCUCACAGUCAAGUUCUUAACCCAUCGAGCCACAAUGGGAACUCCUACUAAUACAUUCUGGAUGUAAAAAAUAUUUAAAUAACCCAUUAAAUCAGACUUGUGCCCUUGGGAGAGUUGAGUCACCCCCAACCCGGCUCCCGGAAGGCCCUAGUGUCUGCCCUCCCCCACCCCCCGUCCCUAGAGUCAGGAGCAGGUGGCUGUGUCUCUCUGAUGCAACCCUGUCUCAUACAAAAGCUCCGAGAGCUGGGAGCAUGUCUCAUGAGCUUUGGUUGUCCUUCCUCAACGCCCCCCCACCCCCUUCUGCUUGAGGAUGACCACAGGAGAUGCUUCGAUGACAACAAGGGUGGUAAUAGUAAUUCCAGCUAAUAGCAUGGAGCCCUAGUUGAGCCUCAUAACAACCCCAAAUAGGAAGUUACAGCCAUCACUACCCUGUUAGCCUAAGAGGAAUUGGAGGCACAGAGAGUGUAAAUACUUAGGAUGUGUCCCCAGCAAGGACCACAGUCAUCCUGAUGGGGAAGCCUGCAUCCUUGUCUUUGUACAAGGGAUCCUCAGCAGGCUCUGGAGUUGAAGAGAAUCAGCACUUUCCAUCCCUACAUGUGGCUCCGAACAGGAAAGAAGCCAGAGAGGAGAAUUACCUUUGGGGACAGGAAAGCAAGAAAAAAAUCCCCGCUAAUGGGAUGAUCCAGUCUUAGUUCUGGUCCAGGCCCAGCGCUCAUCUUCCAGGCUGACUUCUGUCCCCCCGCCCCACCAUUACUGCCCAGAUAUUGGAAUCAAGGUUUGUGGGGGCUGCAAGAGAGAGCCCCAUGCACCCUCACCAGGCCUCCCUCCCUGAGAGGAGCCAUGUGUAAAUACCCCGUGAGUGGUGUGAAUUUCCAUGAUGUACACAAUUUGGGUUUGGCUAAAUCAGCCACAUGGAGGCAGAGACUUCUAAAAGUCUAGCCCCAGAAGGGCAUUUAAAAACCAUUUAUUCACUCUCCCUUUUUUUCACUCUGUUCCAGCCUCACUGCUGUUCCCCUAGCACAGGGGUCUGCUUCUGCCCCAGGGCCUUUGCAUUUAUCAAGCUUUUUGUCUGGGACAGAAUUUACCUCCUUUCUGUCUUGGCUCAGACGUCAGCUGCUCAGUAAGACCUUUUGUUACAGUUACAAACCCAUCUCCCCUUCCUCACUUUAUGUUUUCUCCCAGGAUGUUUCACGUCCUGACAUUUUACUGAUUUUCCUCUUUGUUACCUUCCUCCCACCCUCUAGGAUGUCAGCUUCAUGGGGGCAGGGCUUCCUAUCUAUUUGGCAUCCUGUGGGGUAUACCCAAAGCCCGGCAUGUAAGAGAUGCCCAAUACACAUUUGUCAAAUAAAUUAUGUUCAAGAGCAUCCCAUUUUACAGGUGAGCAAACUGAGGACCAGCAGAGGGAGGGACUUGAUCAAGCCAUGAGAUCAAAGUCUAUCCAGGUGGGAGUUCCCACUCUGGCACAGCUGGUUAAGGAUCUGGCAUUGCCCUGCGGCUGUGACAUAGGUCACAGCUGAGGCUCCUGGCCCAGGAAUUUCCAUAGGCUGCAGGUGUGACCAANGCCCAAAAAAGAAAAAAAAAAAAAAAAAAAAAAAAAAGUCUGUACAGGUGUCCUAGGGCUGCUGGAACAAAUUAUCACAAACUUGGUAGCAUAAAACAUCUAUUCAUUCACUCGCAAUUCUGGAGACCAGAACUAUGAAAUGAAGGUGUCAGCAGAGGCUCUUAGGCAGGAUCUUUCUUGCCUCUAAAGCUUCAGGGGACCCCAGGCUCCCUCGGCUUGUGGCCGCCUCCCUCCAAUCUCUGUCUCUGUCUUCACAGGGCCCUCUCCCUGUGUCUCUGUGUUCCUCUCCUUCAUCCUAUAAGGACACUGGUCAUUGGAUUUAGAGCCCACCCCAGCCUCAGGAUAACCUCACCCCAAGACCCUCAACUAAUUACGUCUGUCAAGACCCUCUUUCCAAAUAGGGUUCCCUUCUGAGGUUCCAGGUGGACAGGAAUUUAGGAGAACACUGUUCAACCACCGCACUGGCAGAGCUGACUAGAACUCAGGUCUCCCCCGCCACCCCCCGACCACAGCCCCCUCAGGGGCUCCACUAGAGUCUCUGCUUUGAGAGGUUAGGUUGGCAGCCGACGGCUGUGGCUGUCAGUCUCCCGUGAACUUGUCAAGUAGGAGAGGGAAAAAAUAAACUCUGGGGUUAAUGAAAGCAGCGAGAUGAUCUCGGCUGAUCCCCCCUAAUCCCCUGCUCUGAGCUCGGCUUUCCAUCAUCAGUCGAGGCUUCUUUUUUUCCCCUUCUUUGUCCGAGUUUCCCCAGAGAAGCAAGCCUUCCAAAUUUAAUAAACUUCCCCCGCCCCCAGCUUUCCCUAAAAUAAAGUAACAGCAGGAUGAUUUUCAAAUGUC